RNAcentral lists this unclassified non-coding RNA (1796 nucleotides) under Hevea brasiliensis (rubber tree). The record is from RNAcentral. Lineage: Eukaryota; Viridiplantae; Streptophyta; Magnoliopsida; Malpighiales; Euphorbiaceae.
AGGUCACAACAUUUUUUGUUUUUUUUUGAAUGGCAAGAAAAUGUAUUACGAGGCCAUGUGAGCAUGAAAAAUACAAAUAGAAGAUAGGGAAUCAGGACAAACAAGAAGUCAAUUACAUGGAAGUUGAUUAAGAAAACCAAGUUUUGCAAGAUGAUGAGCAGCUGCGUUAGCCUUUUUACAUGAGAGAAGGUAACUUGGCUGAAGAUGAGCAGCUGCACAAUUGCCUGAAUUGCCCAAACUUUAUGUACUGGAGGCUCUUUCAAAACUGAUGAAGCAAUUGCCUGCACAAGCACAACCCAUUGUUUUUGCUAAUUUAAUAGCCGCAGAAUCCCCUGAGCUUCACCAACAAACAAGAGGAGAUGAACACCGAACCUUCACAUUCUAAUAUAUAUUUUCUUUGAGAUCUAAUAAUUACUGGAUAACACAAGCAUUCGGGGCUUCUUCAAUAUUAUAGCAAUAGUAAUAUGGAGUCGUGUGAGGAUUGUAAACCUUGUAAGACUUCACAAGCUCCGCAACGUCAUCUUUGUCCCUGAAUUUUCUGCAGAAAGCAUGUUUAGUGACAACCGGUUCCCACAGCAAAUUGUUCCACCAGCUUCCGCUUCCUUUAACUUGUCUUAAUUUUGUUGCGCUGUUGGAAUCAAAUGGAAGACUUCGUAGGUUUGGGCAAUCAAAUACGACUAGCUUCGCAAGGGAAAAAAAUUGUAGGGGUCGGCAGUAGAUGGACUUGAGAUUUGGUAAGCGUUUCAAUGAUAAUUUCUCCAGAUUUCUGAAUACAUCUUGCCCAUGAUCUUCACUUAUUACUUCAAUAAUUUCAUUGCAGCCACUUAAUUUCAGAGAUUGAAGGCUCGGGACAUUUAUGAGGCACGUCACGUUCUUUAUUGGACAGUCGCAGAUCCUCACAAUACAGAGGUUGGGAAACGAUUCCUGCAUUUUUCUCCAGCGGUGGUCGGGGGAAACAUUGAUCUCAGAACCCUGAGGCUCCUGCUGAUUAUUUUCUUUGACAAUUUCAACCUCUGUCAAGGACGAGCACUUCAAUAAUUCAAGUCUCUCCAAAUGCUCCAUCCCUCUUAGAGAGAGUUUUGGUGGAUGAUCUGUGCCCUGUACUAGUUGCAGCUGUUUUAUGCGUCUUCGCAACUUGUGGGUGUCACUGUCCAAUACUUUUUGCACGAAACUUGCAUAUGAUAAAAAUAUACCAAUCUCAUCUAUGUGUUCCAAGGAUUCCAACUCCUUUAGAAGCUCUACUUCAUCAUCUAGUGGAGAAUUAAGAAGCAACAUCUGAUCAAAUACCCUCCUAAAAGCCUGCAAUGAUGAAAGACUAGAAAUCACGCCCAUUGGGAUAGUUAGCAGGGGCGGUGUCCUAUCCAAUAUCAAAGACUGCAACUUCUUCAAAUUCUGAACCUCCAUUGGCAAUAUUUCUAUACAAGUCCCUGACAAAUUUAGAUAACGCAAGUUCCUCAAAUUUCCAAUGCCCACAGGUAGCUCAAUUAAGCCUUCAUUAUCUGACAAGUCCAAAACUUUUAAAGCAGGCAUAGAUUGAAAGAAUUCACUUGGCAGUAUCUUCAAAUUAGUAGCCCUGAGAAGCAACGUUGUAAGAUGAUGGCAAGAAGGUGCCUCAGGGAGAGAUUCGAUGCUGGCACCCCACAAUGAUAUCCUUUCUGCUUUAAUCCACUUUGAAAGCUGUGGUGUUUUUUCCCGCACCAACACUUUGUCCUCUGCCUUUCCCUCCUCACGAGCUAGCCACAAGGUCAUUGCUUGAAUCACAUCAUGCAUUUUAACAAAAUCUUCUGAUUUACCAG